CUACGGGAGGCACCAGUGGGGAAUAUUGCACAAUGGGCGCAAGCCUGAUGCAGUCAUGCCGCGUGUAUGAAGAAGGCCUUCGGGUUGUAAAGUACUUUCAGCGGGGAGGAAGGGAGUAAAGUUAAUACCUUUGCUCAUUGACGUUACCCGCAGAAGAAGCACCGGCUAACUCCGUGCCAGCAGCCGCGGUAAUACGGAGGGUGCAAGCGUUAAUCGGAAUUACUGGGCGUAAAGCGCACGCAGGCGGUUUGUUAAGUCAGAUGUGAAAUCCCCGGGCUCAACCUGGGAACUGCAUCUGAUACUGGCAAGCUUGAGUCUCGUAGAGGGGGGUAGAAUUCCAGGUGUAGCGGUGAAAUGCGUAGAGAUCUGGGGGAAUACCGGUGGCGAAGGCGGCCCCCUGGACGAAGACUGACGCUCAGGUGCGAAAGCGUGGGGAGCAAACAGGAUUAGAUACCCUUGUAGUC
This 464-nucleotide ribosomal RNA is filed under the name uncultured bacterium. RNAcentral describes it as "partial 16S ribosomal RNA". It matches the Rfam family "Bacterial small subunit ribosomal RNA", at positions 339 to 795 of the family's 1533-position model. The record is from RNAcentral.